AUCCUGGCUAGGAUGAACGCUAGCUACAGGCUUAACACAUGCAAGUCGAGGGGCAGCAUGUUGGUUGCUUGCAACCAAUGAUGGCGACCGGCGCACGGGUGAGUAACGCGUAUCCAACCUUCCCCUUAGUAGAGGAUAGCCCGGCGAAAGUCGGAUUAAUACUCUAUGUUGUAUUUUGAUGACAUCUGACGAAUACCAAAGAUUUAUCGCUAAGGGAUGGGGAUGCGUCUGAUUAGGUUACAGGCGGGGUAACGGCCCACCUGGCCUACGAUCAGUAGGGGUUCUGAGAGGAAGGUCCCCCACACUGGUACUGAGACACGGACCAGACUCCUACGGGAGGCAGCAGUGAGGAAUAUUGGUCAAUGGGCGCGAGCCUGAACCAGCCAAGUAGCGUGCAGGGAACCGACUGCCCUAUGGGUUGUAAACUGCUUUUAUCAGGGAAUAAAGUGAGGCACGCGUGCCUUUUUGUAUGUACCUGAUGAAUAAGGACCGGCUAAUUCCGUGCCAGCCGCUGC
RNAcentral lists this ribosomal RNA (515 nucleotides) under uncultured bacterium. Its description in RNAcentral is "bacterial SSU rRNA". It matches the Rfam family "Bacterial small subunit ribosomal RNA", at positions 16 to 518 of the family's 1533-position model. The record is from RNAcentral.